GAUAACACAAUGAUAAAUCAGGACUUCUUGGAAAUUAUUCCAUCUUAACCUCCAUUUUUUAUGUCCAUGUAGUUGUGGGGGAAAAAAAACAACCUUUCACCAGGGCUUGAAGACAAACAUUUUAUGGUCUCAUUGGAAAGAAAAUUGAACAGUAGAUGUAAACACAACUCAAACAUAAAAUACACAGGACAAAAUUCAAAUAGAAAAUACCCAAAGCUAAAGAAUUGUAUCGAUUGUGAAACCCUCUGAAAAUCUCCUUCUUCAAGCAGCAGUCAUGGUUCCCAGUUAUCUUGUCUUCAUUUCAGAGAGACAGACCCAAUUAUGAUCCAUCAUUAAUGACGUCCUGUCAUCCAAAAAUACGCAUUCAUGCACGUGCACUGACAAGAAAAAAGGUUUACAAAAAAACAGACAUUUCUCUUCUUCUGCAAAUUUAGAUGGAUGAAACAGCUGGACUAUGAAGAAACUCCAACGUAGAGGCUAAUGAGUAAAAUAACAAUUAAGAAUAAUGAAGAGCAUCUGCUCUGUUGUGUGUUAUUUAAAAAAAAAUAAAAAUCCCACAUCUCACUUCGGAUUUAUCUCCUGCUACAUAAUUUUGUUGAGCGGCCCUCUGAGCACGGAUCUGGAUCCAACAAAUCUAAAAUCUGCAAUGGUGGGCCACUGUCCACGAUGAGACAAAGACAAGGACAAAAGCUCCAUUCAAAUCGGCUCUGUGCGUUGACGGGACGUUGUCCAGUGAGAGGAGGUCACAUUCCUCCAUCUCACAGCCAAUGGCUGAACGAUGCUGAACUCUAAUGAGGAAGACGACGGUUGAAGACUGUCCUAAAAAAAAAAGGGCCGGGGCGGCGUAAUGAAUGAUUCUGUCUCAUAUCAGCGCUCAACAUCACAUGAGAUCAUGCGAAAGUGGCUGCGUGAGAGGAGCUCACCCUGCAUCCCAUUACAUGCAGUGUUCCGGGAAGAAAGUCCAUUUGCAAUCAAGUAAGAACAAGAUAACGCAGACGAAAAGCAUGCGUCGCUGCUUUAUAUCGCACAUCAAACUGGGUUUUAUUCGUGUGUGAUAUCUGGCUCAUGACUGAUUUCAUACGUUUGUUUUGGCCAUGUUGCGUUUGUAAUCGUACAGCUGUGCCCAGGAGACAGUCAUGUUUUUCUCAAAAGACAAUUUUGUGGCAGUCUUUAAAAAAAGACAACAGAAGGUCAUUUGAGGAAUACAUUUCUUUCUACAUAAGUGCAUCUCAUAGAUUCAGUUUGCAAGUUAAAACGGUUUAUCUAUCCGAACAAUGAUGGAAACACUAAAACAAUUCAACAGGUUUAUCAACGGGUACUUUGUUGGAUUAUGAGAUACAUGUAGUCGCAAUAAGCGACACGGGUAAAAAAAUGUUUUUUAACAUCAGAAUAUUAAGGUUUCACCCGCAUGGGCCUCUUCGAAGGAUCUGACCCUUAAGCGAUGUCACCUUUUGGGUUUCUGAAAGAUUACCCCGGGUUUAUCUUUCAGGAAAACAGAUGUGGAGAAAUAAUAAGUCAUGGAAAUACACCAGACAGACAGACGCUGUGCCCAUGACCCACAACUGAUAGUUCAACUCUGUCAGAGGCCACAGCUCACUCCAUCAGUCUGUUACACAAUACGACAGGCUUCCUCAUGUCAUCAUCGUCUUCAUCUGUUGCCAUUCGUUCAGCUGUUGCUCCUUUGAAGAAUCUGAUCCAGCAGUUUCUGCAAUCAGAAAGCAAAAAAAAAAAAAGAUUAGAUUACUAAAACACUCGGAGGCCACGGGUCACCGGUCGACCUCCUCGAAAACCCAACGAGGCCUUUCUUGCAAUCCUGCAUCCCACUCCUCGUUCACUGGCAUCGCCCCCUCUUCUUCCAGCUGUGUUAUCUGCCACAGCAGCGGUGUGCGUCCGUGGCCACGAACGCAGUCUGCAGCUCGGCUGAAUGGCGGCACCGCACCGUGUCUCUCUGUGCCGCUGAACCCGGGAACACACAGGCCUCACACGCUGAGCACAAUGAGGCUGUUCACGGUCCGUCUCCAUAGUGACGGUGCACCGGGGGGGAAAGAGAACAAGCGUGUGCGAUUCCUUUCAGCGAAUCAAAAUCUGUCCCGGGUAAUAAAUAUAGACCAUGCUGUGAAAAACAAAACAAAAAAAAGAAGAUAAAACAAAACAAGUAACAACAACUUCUGUAUGCGCAGGGGGGAAAAAGAAGUAAAAUUAGAUUUUUUAAUCAAAUUCCCAGGAGACGUGCUGAAAAAUAGCAAAGCAGCGACAUCUAGUGGAUGAAUAAGCUUGUUGUUCAGAGAGAACAAACAAGCUCAAGCAAUCCUCCCACAUCUUAUAUAUUUAGUGUUACAAUACAUGCUUUUCUUAUUCAUCUGCAAAUCUUAUUUCUUAUAGAUCAGUUAAUCAAUAAAGGUAUGUGAAUUCAUACUCUCAGACCUUGGUGUAUAUUACGUACGGUAAUAUGUCAUCCAGCCCACAAGGCCAACUUGUCCGCCUCAGCAGAAGAAUACUCAGAAACACACCGUGCACCCCAUCACCCCCGCCUAGGUUUUUGUGUUUCUACGUUCUUCUCAUAAAUGUCCUUCGCCCUUGCGUGUUCCACUCAAAAUCGUCUCACUUGACCACGAUGGACUUGAUGGGCAAUUAAAAGACGUCAUGUUCCAGAGCUGCACUGCCGUGAAGAGAGAACCCGACAUCGUUGGCUUCAUCGCUUAGGAUGCUUAAUUGAGCCUAUCGAGGAAAGUUGUGUUAUCACUUGCUUAAUUGCCUGUGGGUUGUACACACAAUUAAUGUUCUGUUAAGUGCCUCGGGCAUGUUGUUAACACUGUGGCAAUCUGUACGGAGAUUAUUUGCUUUGUUCCAUAUUUUCAGGGAUUUGGGGAUUCAGUUCAAUUACUGAGUGCCAGCUCCAAAUAGCCAGGUGUGGUGCAGGAGUGUUUGCGCUAAUGUAGGUUCAUCUUAUUCUAUUCAGCCCCUCAGUAUGAAGGUGUUUCUCCCAUAUGUACACGGGAAAUCCUCUUAUUUCACUCUCUGUUGUCAUUAUGUAAUGUGUAACAUGUCGCUUCUGAUCUUCUCUUCGCUUUUUAGCCUCGGCACUGUUCCAUCAACGGAAAAAGAGACAAAAUAUUUUUUGCAUGGUUGUCAACCCAAAUACGGGCUGGGUGAAUUCAUCUGUGUUUUGACAAUUAAAGAUUAAGGGAUUACCUUUGUGAAAAGUCCCACUCGCUGCCUGUUGCUCAAACACACCUCCCUCCUCUUCUCCUCCUCCUCCUCUUUUUUCCUCUUCACCUCUGCAUGCGUCCUGUAACACAACGAUUAGGAUUGGUAUUAUUUGGAAAUGGUUCGACAUGCUCAUUGACUUUCUACGCACCCCUACUCAACUACAUGGUUGAGUAGACACUAUAUUCUGAAUAAAUCCACAGUCCAACACCUUGUGAGACAAGGACAGGGAAAAAACGGAACAUAAUUAGUGCAAAAGUCUUGGCACAGGAAAAAAAAGCAGCCUAUUUUGUUUGGAUGUGUCACUGAUACAGGCUCGGCCUUCACACGUGAAAGUAACGUGUCAGAUAAGAACGCGUUUUGUCUGUUUUGUCAAAAAAGAUGCAUCUGACAGAAUGAAGACGUUGAGACUCACCGCUUAGAUCUCGGCUGCAUCUCUUUGCCAGCAAUGCCUCCGUCUUCGAAAAGGUUAUCUGGAAACAGGAGCAGGUAUGACACAUUUACACACGCACACACAUGCAUAAUGUUGAUUGAGUCGAAGGUUAAAUCACGGCAGUGGAUCAGAACGAAAGGGUCAUGUUGCAAUCUCCUGCAAGAAUAAACAAGAUCAUUUUUAACAGGAAUUCCACCAUCUUGACUGAAGACAUUUUAUGAGGAACACUCACCACGUUUCAUACAUGUACACAAAUAAAAACUUGUUGUCUUAUCUUUUAUUUUACUUUCCAAGCUGUCAUUGACCCAGUGGUGUGUUUUUCUGUCGCAGCCAGCAGAGGGCAGAGAGGGCUACUCAUUUACUGUCGCACAUCUUUAAAUUCUUUAUUGUUUACUGGGAAGCCUGGCACACUGAAAGGGAAUCUCAUGUGACAGGACAUUGUGCCUGAGCUUAAUGACAUUUGAAGGUCACAGACAAAUCUUUGCUGUAAUCAAAUGCUGGCAAUCAUUCUCACUCCCCAUCAUUGAACAAAGGAACACUUGCAUUAUAUAUAUACAGUAUCGGCAAUAAAUGGCAUUUCUUUCAUAAGUAUUUUUUAAAUUCUUUUAUUGUAUUUAGCCACAGCUUAGCCUGCCGUGCCAGCUUUCUCUCUCAGAUAUGCUUCUUUCCUUUGACAUUUGAACGGAAUAGAAAGCUAAGAUGAAAAUGUUUGUUUUAUUACAUUUUCAGAUUCUAGGAGGAUCACAAAUAUCAUUUAUGCCCUGCUUUAGCAUUUACCCAGUACAUUUAAUGUAUGUUAAAUUUGUAAACACAAUGUCUGUGACUUCAUGAAAGUAUAAAAUCUUAAAGAUGUGUUAUGGAUUAGUUGUCUUAAACUGCCAACUCAGUAUCUUGUUUAUCAGCUGAGGACUGACGCGAGCCAAUAUUAUAUAUAUAUAUAAAAUUGAGCCAAACUACCCUCCCCUCCGCCCCUCUCGCUCUUUGUUCUCUGCCUGUAUGUGUGUGUGAUUAUGAUGUGGCAAACAGCCACCGCAGCUGCAACCGGACAAUGGGCAGCAUGAGAGAGGUGGCUGCUGGCACCGUACCGGUCAGAGAGGUUCCCCGAACACUGCGGGCUCUCCUCUGCCCGACGGCGGCGUCCGGCCGCGGGUCCGCCGAAGGGGCCAGGUCCCUCCUCUCCCGGGCCCUGCGCUCCAGCUCUCGCAGUCUGCUCUGGGAACGGCCGAUGAAGUCUGGCCUGCACCUCCGCAGC
Molecule: long non-coding RNA, 4892 nt
Organism: Gasterosteus aculeatus aculeatus (three-spined stickleback)
Lineage: Eukaryota; Metazoa; Chordata; Actinopteri; Perciformes; Gasterosteidae
Source: Ensembl